UAUGUGUAGCAUUUUUUUUAGGAGAAGCAAAUAAAUGAGUUAUAUUAGUGAAUUGAGCCGAGAGCACAUAGAAAGAAGAAAAAGAACAAAGAUUGAGAAUUAUAGAGCAGGAGAUGAAAUUAGGAGCAUGAUUGAACUAUCAGUCGUAACCAGGAAUAAGAUAUGAGUGAAGUAUUUGGUUGA
Molecule: non-coding RNA, 183 nt
Organism: Salvia hispanica
Lineage: Eukaryota; Viridiplantae; Streptophyta; Magnoliopsida; Lamiales; Lamiaceae
Source: RefSeq, a predicted model, not a curated record